This 497-nucleotide ribosomal RNA is filed under the name uncultured bacterium. RNAcentral describes it as "partial 16S ribosomal RNA". It matches the Rfam family "Bacterial small subunit ribosomal RNA", at positions 28 to 507 of the family's 1533-position model. The record is from RNAcentral.
GACGAACGCUGGCGGCGUGCCUAAUACAUGCAAGUAGAACGCUGAAGAGAGGAGCUUGCUCUUCUUGGCUGAGUUGCGAACGGGUGAGUAACGCGUAGGUAACCUGCCUUGUAGCGGGGGAUAACUAUUGGAAACGAUAGCUAAUACCGCAUAACAAUGGAUGACACAUGUCAUUUAUUUGAAAGGGGCAAUUGCUCCACUACAAGAUGGACCUGCGUUGUAUUAGCUAGUAGGUGAGGUAAUGGCUCACCUAGGCGACGAUACAUAGCCGACCUGAGAGGGUGAUCGGCCACGCUGGGACGGAGACACGGCCCAGACUCCUACGGGAGGCAGCAGUAGGGAAUCUUCGGCAAUGGGGGCAACCCUGACCGAGCAACGCCGCGUGAGGGAAGAAGGUUUUCGGAUCGUAAAGCUCAGUUGUAAGUCAAGAACGGGUGUGAGAGUGGAAAGUUCACACUGUGACGGUAGCUUACCAGAAAGGGACGGCUAACUACGUG